This 76-nucleotide transfer RNA is filed under the name Candidatus Shapirobacteria bacterium CG09_land_8_20_14_0_10_38_17. RNAcentral describes it as "tRNA-Arg". It matches the Rfam family "tRNA". From Rfam's summary of the family: Transfer RNA (tRNA) molecules are approximately 80 nucleotides in length. Their secondary structure includes four short double-helical elements and three loops (D, anti-codon, and T loops). Lineage: Bacteria; Candidatus Shapironibacteriota. The record is from RNAcentral.
GUCCCUGUAGCUUAAUGGAUAGAGCAACUCCCUUCUAAGGAGUAGGUUAGAGGUUCGAAUCCUCUCAGGGACACAA